CCUGGAGAUCUAAAGCAGAUGAAAAUAAUAAUACAUCCAAUAUUAAAGAUGUAGUAAUUCUUAUAUAAGAAUGAUGACAGUACACCUAUAUAUUCCCAAACCAAAAAUCAGAAACAACUGGAAAUUUAAAAAGUCAAAUGGCUAACCUCCAAUAAUCCUAGGUCAAUAGGUAUAAUUUAUAGUAAUUCAGACUCCUGACUUUAAUUCUAAUCUGUAGGUCAACGUCUGAAAACUAAGGAACUCAAUAAUUAUACACAUGCAAAUAGACCUAGGAAGUUGGUCGAGAACCAAUACAAAUUGUGCACCUUAAGAAAACAUAGGUAGCCUAAAUACUAAAUCCUCAGACCAAAGAGGAACUACCUUAUAAAAGUCUAGGGACACAAAUGAACCCAUCGAGGGGAGUGAAAAAGCUAAUAACCUAAUGUAAAAUGCUCAGAGGACCAUACAAUGUGGCUACAAAUUACUUAAUAUAUUUGUGCAUACUAUACAAAUUAGAUACACUGGCGCUAUGUUGCCACUAUGCCUAUUAAUGGACUGAGCCUGUGGCCAUAAAUAGGCUUAAACUGUAAAAAAUUACAGACAAUUCUCCAAAGUGGGGUCACUAAAUGCACAGCCCUUCUUAACUAAUCAGUCCUCAAGAUAGUCACUCAAUAAACCAGGUUCUGGACCGGUUAGGAGGUAAAGAAUAGCGCGUUUCGGUGCUUCAGUAGUGCACCUUCGUCAGGGGCCCCUGGGCUGUCAGGCAGAUGGUGGAAUGGUGGCGAUCGGGUAAGUAAUAAGGAUGGCGGUGACAUUCUAUGCUUCCCGCCGGCAUUCAGAGCCACCCCAAAAAGGAUGGCACAGAACGCCCGCCGUCCUUAAGGGGUUAAAACUUUCAGGAAAAGGAGUAAGCAACACAACGUUUCUUACACAAAAAUUGUAAACCUGAACUCACAUUCCAUUAUUAGAAAGACUUGCAUAUGGGCCAGACAGCUUGCCAUCAGAGUAACCCGAGAACAUUAAAAAGGAAUACUCCAAUGUAAAAAAGAUUUUAAAAAAUUUAACAAUGCUUAAACAUUUAGUAGAUAAGCCCCCAAUGAAAACAUGCAAGGAUUUAUUGCUGCAUUUUAAUUGUAUUAGAGUUCUAUAAUAAAACACUGCAGAUCUGCUGUAUGUAGCCAUAACAAACCCUCCCCCUUUUCCCCCCAGCACAGAUUGCCAGGAAAAUGAAUCAGAUGCUUCUCAGCCCAAGUCCUCCAGGCUGCCAGACAGAAAAUCUGUGGAGGUCUAAGAUGGGCACUUAGUACUCUGAGCUGAUAGGCUCACUUAUACUUGGGGGAGAAGGCAGGUACACUCUAGCAGAGCAUGCCUGCCACUUCCAUUAGCUUAGUGGACCUAACGAUUUGGAAAGAAAACCUCAGGUAGGUGUUACUGAAGUUAUUUCUAAAAGUGUGGAUUUCAAACAGAAAUAUGCACUUUAAUAAGCUACACACACUCCUCACUUACCAACCAGGUUCAGUUUUUUACGACUUGGUCGGUAAGUGAGAAGUGCAGGUCUAUGUUCGGGAAAAUUUCCCCGAACAUAGACAAGUGCAGCAGAGCAGGGAACCCCUCAAAUCUAUGUUCGGAGAACAUUCCCCGAAUAUAGAUUAGAUGGAUUACCUGCUCUGGUGCGUUUUUGUAUGUUUAGGGAAAUUUCCUCGAACAUAGAUUAGAGGGAGUCCCUGCUCUGGUGCGCUUGUCUAUGUUUGGGGUAUGAUUACCAAAUUAAACAUCACUAUAGGCAAUGCCUGUUCCUCCAAUCACCAACAGUUGGAACAGGUAUGCCUUUAAAGCAUCCACAAAUUGAAAUGGGAGAAAAAAAGACAAAAAAAAAACACAACACUUUUUCCUCCAACUAAAAACAGAAUCGUGAGGUUCCUUGAAAAUAUAUCUUUGAGAAUAAACCCCCCAAAAAAAAAAAAAAAAAAAACAGAACAAGGAAAGAAUAGCCGCAUCUUUUUACCCUUCCCCCUCUGAUCCAAGAGGUACAGAUUGCCUAAAAUGUCAUAUGUUGAGCCGUAUUUCCGAACUCCUUCCAUAAAAACAAGGUGGGUCCAUUUCCUUUUAGAACAAUACUUCAAGAACCUGAGAAACAUCUUAUGUUUAUUUAAGCCGAACACCACGUUUGUCUUGCACUAUUGAACUUUAUAAAUCAAUAGCUGAACUGCAACAUGGAUCAGAUAUUGGAGAACCCGAAAUGCAAUAAACUAAUGUUUAUAUGGGAAAUACAUUCAAUUUGCAAACAAAACACCUUCCAGCUGGAAGACUAAAGUCACAAUCUAAGACUGUAUUAUUAUUCAGGCAAAAAUAUUUUAUGUGCCAUAGCACCACAAACUGAAUGGCAAGAUCUGCUUCUAGUUAAGGUUUUCUAUAUCUGUGACAGAAAAAUAAAUAAAAAUUAACAAUUAAAAAAUGCAUGUUAACAAUACAUCAGCCACUGCCAUUUAAAGGGACACAAACACCAUAAACUAUGCACCUUCCAUGGUCCAUUGGCUAUGUUAUGAAAAUAACAGUGCAAUAGAAGCCCCCCUCUGUGAAUAAAAUGUGUGCAAAAGGUUUAAAUAUUCAUCCCAUAAUGUUCUGUAGAAGCUCAGAAAUCCCCUUAAAAAAAAAAAAAAAGCUAAAACUGUCUGAAUAAUUUCUGCCACUUCCUAAUCAGAGUGCUCAUUGCAUACUUAAAGGACCACUAUAGUGCCAGGAAAAC
This is a non-coding RNA of Pelobates cultripes (western spadefoot toad), 2725 nucleotides long. The record is from the annotation of a GenBank genome assembly. NCBI's taxonomy places the organism in Eukaryota, Metazoa, Chordata, Amphibia, Anura, Pelobatidae.